Molecule: ribosomal RNA, 253 nt
Filed under: uncultured bacterium
Lineage: Bacteria
Description: partial 16S ribosomal RNA
Rfam family: Bacterial small subunit ribosomal RNA
Source: RNAcentral
GACGUAGGAGGCGAGCGUUGUCCGGAUUCAUUGGGCGUAAAGAGCGCGCAGGCGGCUUGGUAAGUCGGAUGUGAAAUCCCGAGGCUCAACCUCGGGUCUGCAUCCGAUACUGCCCGGCUAGAGGUAGGUAGGGGAGAUCGGAAUUCCUGGUGUAGCGGUGAAAUGCGCAGAUAUCAGGAGGAACACCGGUGGCGAAGGCGGGUCUCUGGGCCGACACUGACGCUGAGGAGCGAAAGCGUGGGGAGCGAACAGG